Molecule: long non-coding RNA, 6497 nt
Filed under: Sus scrofa (pig)
Lineage: Eukaryota; Metazoa; Chordata; Mammalia; Artiodactyla; Suidae
Description: lncRNA (ENSSSCG00000055568.1)
Source: RNAcentral
CAUCCUCCACAUUCUUUUCCUUUCUGCCAGCUUGAUGCAGACAGGCACAGUGAUCUUGGAAGUCAAGGCUGAAGUGAAGUCACAAGUUGGAAGGACCCUAAAUCUCUGAAUCACCACUGAUGAGGAACACCCAUUCGGGCUUCACAAUAAAGCAAACACAUAUCAUGUUAUAGCUGUUGUACAUCAUUGGCUGUGUUGAUUAUAGCCACUAGUAGUAUACCUAAUAUACAGUUUUCCAAGAAAUUCAUUAGGUCAGUGAUUCUCCAUACAGGUAUAGGGUGGAGAGAAAAAAAAAUGGAUAGAGUUGGAAGUAUCAUAGCUCCCUAGGAAACCUUUUCAUCUGCAUACUCUGAUCCUCCUUUGCCUUACAGAUUCUUAUUCAAACCCCUAGCAUGUUAAGCCAGGUAGGGUGGGGGCAAAUGUUAUAGAAGAUCAGUAUGUCAAGGAGACUGAGAAAAGGGGAAUUUACAUAACUUGCUCAAAGGCACACAGCUAGGAAUUGACAAAGCCAAGAUUUAGACAUGGGUAGUUUCACUCCAGCGCCCACAUUUGUAACGACCAGGUUAGCCUAUCUCAACUCCUGCUUGCCACAGUUUGAGAACUUUGUCUUUGCUGAAUUUCUUUAAUGUGGUGAACUCUGGAUUGUCUGAAGGACAAUUUCUACUUGACAGUUUAUCUGCAAUAACAUCCUAAAAUUAAUUUACUAUCUCCAUCCAACAACUUUACAACUUAUUUCCUCUUGAUAAAAGUGAAUGUUGUUGUCAGGGACAGAUUUAGGAGGCAGUAUCUACUGGGGAGCAUAUCACUGUACACUCCAAAGCAGUAUCCCUGACUUUGAGCUAUCUUGCUACUGCUUCCUUACUUAACCUGGUUAGUUGAGAAUUGACUAUCCAUGAAAGAGAAAUGGUUUGUUCUAGCACUAGAAGCGUGUUGCUGCAGCUAAGCCUAUAUAUCCAAAUGGCAUGUCUCAGGGAACCACUGAAUCACUGGCAAUACCCCCACACCUUUUAAUGGGUUCUUGUGGAGCACAGUGGUUAAAAAUUUAGGCUUAGAGCCACACUACUGGGGUUCAAACCUGAGUUCCUCCAUUGACAAGCUUUUACCAUGGGCAAACAUUUCCCUUUGUUUAUAAAUGGGAUGGAUGGACAGAUGGAUGGGCGAAUGAUAAUGAUGACAGUCAUUUUCUAGAGUUGUUAGAGGUUUAAUAAUACAUAAAAACACACAAAUUUUUCUAUAAAUAUUCACUAUAGUUAUUAUUUUAAAGACUAUUGAGUUAAACAACUAAAAAAUGAAGGCCCAAAGGAUCAGUUUCACUCUGGAGGGUCUCUAGUAAUAUAUAUAUCAUAUGUAUAUAUAUGACAUAUAUAUAUUAAUUGUUGAAGACAAAAUGGACAAGGCAGCAUUUUGGAUGAGGAAACAUAGAAACUAGUAAAACAAGGUGCAAAUCCUGCUUCUGAGACUAGCAGUCUGGCCUUUAGCAAAUCAUAAAAUUGUCGUGAUGCUAUUUCUUCACGCAUAAGGUAAAUUAAUAAAUGUGGAGAUUUUCCUUACAUGUCAACUCUUUAUGCAUAUUUUCUUCUGUAUGUUGCUUAUUUAUAUGGAACACAUUUUCCCAUGCCAUUGUUAAGCUAAGUUUAAUUGUUGGUAAAUUCAACAACUCUGCUAUCUAGGGAAGAAUAAAAAUGAUCUCAUUUGGAAAUUAUCAAGAAUUUUCUUUCUCGACUUCUUUUAUUUUAUUUUUUUAAUUUUUUUUAAUUGUUAUUUCACCAAUACAAUUUUUUUUUCUACUGUACAGCAUGGUGACCCAGUUACACAUACAUGUAUACAUUCUUUUUUCUCACAUUAUCAUGCUUCAUCAUAAGUGACUAGACAUAGUUCCCAGUGCUACACAGCAGGAUCUCAUUGCUAAUCCAUUCCAAAGGCAAUAGUCUACAUCUAUUAACCCCAAAUUCCCAAUCCACCCCACUCCCUCCCCCCCGCCUUGGCAACCACAAGUCUAUUCUCCAAGUCCAUGAGUUUCUUUUCUGUGGAAAGGUUCAUUUGUGCCAUAUAUCAGAUUCCAGAUAUAAGGGAUAUCAUAUGGUAUUUGUCUUUCUCUUUCUGACUUACUUCACUCAGUAUGAGAGUCUCUAGUUCCAUCCAUGUUGCUGAAAAUGGCAUUAUUUUGUUCCUUUUUAUGGCUGCCUUCUCGACUUCUUCAAAGGAUAAAGAGCAAAAUAUUCAGACUUUCAACUUUUCACCUUCCAUCCACAUCUAUCCUACCUGGAGUUGACUGACUAACUGACUCUACCUGGGGGCAUAUACUUAUGGCUGUUGCCAUAAUUCCCCAUAUCUCCCAACUAGUACACCAUUUUUAGGUGAGAAAAAUUAUUUAGUUACAUUCAUUCUUUAUUAUUAUUUUAUUUAUUUAAAACAUUAUAUAUGCUUAGAUCCUGUGAAGUAACAUUUCACACUGAAAGAAAUUGGAACUCCUUUGAGAAAUAAUUGGGGUAAAGAAAAUGCAAGAUAAAUCUAGAAUAAUUUUGGUCAGAAAAUGAGGAAGUGAGGGAAAUAUAAUGUAGAAAUGUCACAAAAGGUACAGGAGUGGGUUUGAAGGGGUUCCAAAGGACAAAUCUGGGACAAUUUGAGAAUAAAAAUAAAUAAUGAAUAACAAAUAAUAGAAUCUAUGACAGCCUAGAGUUCACAGUGAUUUGAGUAAAUGAAAAGUAAAUGAGGGAGAAGGAAAAGUUCCUCUCUACAAUAGAAUGCAAAUGUAGAAAAAUUAGUUUAAAAUCACCAUUUGCAACUAUCAUAGCAAUAAUAGGUUUGAUCAAGAAUUAUUAAUACAUGCUAAUAAAAAUGAAAAUUAUGAUGAAGAGCAGGGUAUUUAAAUAAUAUCAAAGUAUCUCCCUACAAACUAUGUAUAAACUACAAAGGAAAAAUAGCAAUUUUAUAAGAGGAAACCUGAGUCACCACCUUAGCCAGUUUACAUCACAAAAUUGGCAUCUUCUCAUUCUUGAUGUGAUUCACUAAGAAGGAUGCAAUAUGACCUCUGUGGUGUCCCUGCCAAAAUGCAUAACCUGAAUCCAAUUAUGAGGGCAUACCAGAUAGAUCCAAAUUUAGGAACAUUCUGCAAAAGAGCUGGCCUGUACACUUUAAAAAAAAUUCAAGGCUGUAGAAGACAAAUAAGGCUGAGUCAGUAUUACACAUUAAAAGAAACUAAGAUGGGGAGUGACAACUAAAUGCAAUUGGGGGUCCUGGGUUGGAACCCGGAUUGGGGAAGGAGGGUGUACGACUGGCACAAUUUCCAUAUGGACUAUAGACUAGGUAAUAGUAUUAUGUUUAAUGUUAAAUUUCAUGGUAUUGGUAAUUAUACUGCCAUUGUAUGAAGAAUGUCCUUGAUCUUAGGAAAUACCUACUGAAAUAUCUAGGGGUAAAGAGGCAUGAUGGCUAUUUACCAUCAGUUGGCUCAGAAAACUGUAUGUACACCUAUAUCUAUAUCUAUCAAUCUUUCUGAGAGAAGCGAUAAAGCAAAUAGAUAGAAACAGUAAUAAAACACUAACAUCUCUAUACCUUUUACUUAGAGAACAUAUGAAUGUUCUUUGCAUUAUUAGUUCAACUGUAUCAAAAUUAAAAGUUACUAAUAAGUAAACAAAUAAAAACCUAUUAUGCCCCUUACACUUUUUUUUGAAAAUGCAUGUUAUAUAAUGCAUUUGGAAAAAUGUUGGAUAUUAACCUAUAUAACUAUAUCUAGACUUUUUACGUUCAACCAGAAUAUAGUUAGUUCUUCCUUAUAAGUCUUUCUAUUACAAUUUGCAUUUUUCUGGUCUAUAACAUAUUUCUCAGCAUCCAAUAGGAGCACUUCUGUUAGGACUAUGCAUUUGGUUUCUAAAGUUAGUUGGCACUUACAGUGCAACUCCACUUUGUUCAUACUAGAAGCCUGCUAAGGAAUAGAGGCACAAUGUAAUUAUCUCAUUUAAUUCAAUCCUUUCAGAAUUUCUAUGAACUAGUCAUCAGGUCUUCCUUUCACAGAUAUGGAAACCCAAGGUUUAAAGACAUGAAAUAUUUUGCCUUGGUCUUGGCCCCAAGGCCACACCCUAACAAGUGGUGGGGCAGCUUUCCAGCCCUGGACUGAACUUACUGCCCUGCACCAUACCCCCUGCUCUGCUAAAUCAGGAUGCUCUACCUGGAACUGAAACUUGCUCCAAGUUUGUGAGGAGAAAGCUGUCAUUUCAAAACAUACAAAUGUCUUCUGUUUUGAAAGAAUAUACUAUUGUUGAAAUCUAAUAAAAAAUGGCAUGAGAACUUAUUUAUAAAACAGAAACAAAUCCACAAAUUUCAAAACCAAUCUUACAGUUACCAUAGGUGAAACCAUUGGGGGGAAGAAAGAAUUGGGAGAGUGGGAAUAACAUAUACACACUACUGUGUAAAAUAGAUGAUUAACAAGAACCUACUGCAUAGCACAGGAAAAUCUACCUAAUAGUUUGUAAUAACCUAAAUGGGGAAAAAUGAAUGGAUAUAGACAGGUAGAUUUGCCUUUUUAGGGCUGCACCCAUGGCAUAUGGAGUUUCCCAGGCUAAGCAGUGAACCAGAGCUAUAGCUGCUGGCCUGUACCACAGCCACAGCAAUGCCAGAUCUGAGCCACAUCUGCAACCUACACCACAGCUCACAGCAAUGCCAGAUCCUUAACCCACUGAGCAAGGCCAGGGAUCGAACCUGCAUCCUCAUGGAUGCUAGUCAGAUUCAUUUCCGCUGAGCCAUGACGGGAACUCCCAAAUGGAUAUAUUUAUAUGUUUGACUUAUUCACUUUGCUGUACACUUGAAACUAAUACAACAUUGUAUAUCAAUUAUACGCCAAUAAAAUUGAAUUUAAAUACACACACACACACACACACACACACACACACACACACUAUUGUUUUAACCACCAGAAUGAGUGUUAUGCUUGGAAAAAGAGGUUCCAUAAUUGGAAGUAGAGCUCUUUGAGAAGCAGAGGUCACACGAGAUUCAUAUUUUAAGUUUCACUUGAUGGACCUGGAGUAGUAUGGUGGGGUGGGUUCCCUGGGGAUACUUGAUACAUUGUUUAUGAUAUAGACAGAGUUGUAUCUCUGCAGACUGUGAGCAUAGGACUUAGAGCAAAGUGUGUGCCGUAUAAACAUUUAGUGAGUGAAUGAACAUGGCUUUAGGUUACCAUGGGCCUUCAAAUGGUGGUGAGUCCUUGUGGGAAUAUUUCAAUCUUGAAUGAUCAGUUGUUUGCAGGACAUCAGGUACUGAGACCAAGGAGAUUUCAAGGCUUUGCCGGCCUGAUUGCCAACUCUCAAGGGAGAAAAGACUGUGAUAUGGAAACUUGACUGAGUGGGCUCAGAGGUUUAGCCUGAUCUGAUUUGAACAUGAGAGUAUGUUAAAAGGAAUAACCCCAAUAUUUGGAACUAAAAACAAAAGGAGCGUCGUUUCUUUCUGUGAUUUGGAAGAGUGAGAGGAAAGGACAGCUAUUGUUUAUGCAUCUUUGCUACUGAAUAUUCCCAAUACCAAUCAUGAUGAGAAAAGGAAAACACUUAGGGGGUGAUGGGAGAAGGAAGGCAAGCCUAAACCAAGGUAAGGGAAGAUGUUUUAUCCCAAAUGGGCGACAAAGUAAAUGGACUAAGAGAUGUAGCCCUUAAUCCCAGGAGUCUAGACCUGCCUAAAGCACUCUUGGGUGUUAGAAAGUGUAUGGCUUUGUUUCACGAGGUAUCCAGGAAUGAGCUGGACUGGAAAUGGUCCCAUAGCUGACCAGAAAAGUGUCUCUCUAACUGGGAAGGGAAGAAGCCCUGCAGCUGAGCCUAGAGGCAGCUUUUAGAGGAAUUCCAUGAGACCCGACAAGGGUCUAGGGGCUUUGCAGCAGCCUAAGAACAAGUUGUAAAGCUUUGUGCUUUUUGUCUAUUAAUGCAGAGCUUUCAGAAAAGUCUUUCUCUGUGAUUUAGCCAAAGUUCAAUGAUGUGUGUGUGUUUGGGGGUAGGUAGGUCAAGGAAAGGGGUUCCAACCAUUCUUAGUUAUGAGUGAAAGAAGAGAGAAGUGUGACCUUGCUGAAGUCUCCCUGGUGGUAGGAACACAGCCCAGAAAGAGGCUGAGGACUGGGAACCCAGAAGGAGGCUCUCAAUCUUAGUGAAAGUAAUGGUUUACAGGCAAACAAUGCUUCUGGGGGGCCAGCUAGGUGAGCAGGUAAAUUAACAAGGUGAGUUGGGAGAGUGUGUAGGAUGUCAUACACCUGAAGACUCCUGUGAGAAACUGAAUGAGACUUGGGCUGGUGUUCUGAAAGAUGAAAUUAAAAGACAAAAAAAAGAAUUAAUUCCAUCUUAGCUAUAGUCCAGCUUGUGGGAUUGGAGGGGUGGAACAUCAAGACUUAGAGGAAAUUAUGUAAAUUUGUUUACAUUGAUACUCAUAUUUAAGGAAACACUAGUUACUCUAAUUUUGAACAACACAGAGUAAUUCUGAUCUAAUAAAUUGUUUCAAUUGUGCUGAAAUACAAAUGCCUCAUUAUU